GCGCCCGUAGCUCAGCUGGAUAGAGUACUCGCCUACGAAGCGAGGGGUCGCACGUUCAAAUCGUGCCGGGCGCACCA
RNAcentral lists this transfer RNA (77 nucleotides) under Burkholderiales bacterium. RNAcentral's name for it is "tRNA-Arg". It matches the Rfam family "tRNA". From Rfam's summary of the family: Transfer RNA (tRNA) molecules are approximately 80 nucleotides in length. Their secondary structure includes four short double-helical elements and three loops (D, anti-codon, and T loops). Further hydrogen bonds mediate the characteristic L-shaped molecular structure. tRNAs have two regions of fundamental functional importance: the anti-codon, which is responsible for specific mRNA codon recognition, and the 3' end, to which the tRNAs corresponding amino acid is attached (by aminoacyl-tRNA synthetases). tRNAs cope with the degeneracy of the genetic code in two manners: having more than one tRNA (with a specific anti-codon) for a particular amino acid; and 'wobble' base-pairing, i.e. permitting non-standard base-pairing at the 3rd anti-codon position. The record is from RNAcentral. Lineage: Bacteria; Pseudomonadati; Pseudomonadota; Betaproteobacteria; Burkholderiales.